AGUGAACGCUGGCGGUAGGCCUAACACAUGCAAGUCGAACGGCAGCACAGUAAGAGCUUGCUCUUACGGGUGGCGAGUGGCGGACGGGUGAGGAAUGCAUCGGAAUCUACUUUUUCGUGGGGGAUAACGUAGGGAAACUUACGCUAAUACCGCAUACGACCUACGGGUGAAAGCAGGGGAUCUUCGGACCUUGCGCGAUUGAAUGAGCCGAUGUCGGAUUAGCUAGUUGGCGGGGUAAAGGCCCACCAAGGCGACGAUCCGUAGCUGGUCUGAGAGGAUGAUCAGCCACACUGGAACUGAGACACGGUCCAGACUCCUACGGGAGGCAGCAGUGGGGAAUAUUGGACAAUGGGCGCAAGCCUGAUCCAGCCAUACCGCGUGGGCGAAGAAGGCCUUCGGGUUGUAAAGCCCUUUUGUUGGGAAAGAAAAGCAGCAGGUUAAUACCCCGCUGUUCUGACGGUACCCAAAGAAUAAGCACCGGCUAACUUCGUG
Molecule: ribosomal RNA, 492 nt
Filed under: uncultured bacterium
Lineage: Bacteria
Description: partial 16S ribosomal RNA
Rfam family: Bacterial small subunit ribosomal RNA
Source: RNAcentral